CCUACGGGAGGCAGCAGUGAGGAAUAUUGGUCAAUGGACGGAAGUCUGAACCAGCCAUGCCGCGUGCAGGAUGACGGCUCUAUGAGUUGUAAACUGCUUUUGUAUUGGGGUAAACAGCCCUACGUGUAGGUGCUUGCAAGUAUAAUACGAAUAAGGAUCGGCUAACUCCGUGUCAGCAGCCGCGGUAAUACGGAGGAUCCAAGCGUUAUCCGGAUUUAUUGGGGUUAAAGGGUGGGGAGGCGGUUUGAUAAGUUAGGGGUGAAAUACCGGUGCUCAACACCGGAACUGCCGCUAAUACUGUUGAUCUAGAGAGUAGUUGCGGUAGGCGGAAUGUAUGGUGUAGCGGUGAAAUGCUUAGAGAUCAUACAGAACACCGAUUGCGAAGGCAGCUUACCAACCUAUAUCUGACGUUGAGGCACGAAAGCGUGGGUAGCAAACAGGAUUAGAUACCCGAGUAGUC
RNAcentral lists this ribosomal RNA (460 nucleotides) under uncultured bacterium. RNAcentral describes it as "partial 16S ribosomal RNA". It matches the Rfam family "Bacterial small subunit ribosomal RNA", at positions 338 to 795 of the family's 1533-position model. The record is from RNAcentral.